This 378-nucleotide unclassified non-coding RNA is filed under the name plant metagenome. RNAcentral describes it as "partial contains 5.8S ribosomal RNA, internal transcribed spacer 2, and large subunit ribosomal RNA". The stretch from base 1 to 105 matches the Rfam family "5.8S ribosomal RNA", at positions 50 to 154 of the family's 154-position model. The record is from RNAcentral.
GAAAUGCGAUAAGUAAUGUGAAUUGCAGAAUUCAGUGAAUCAUCGAAUCUUUGAACGCACCUUGCGCUCCUUGGUAUUCCUUGGAGCAUGCCUGUUUGAGUAUCAUGAAAUCUUCAAAGUAAAUCUUUUGUUAACUCAAUUGGUUUCUACUUUGGUAUUGGAGGUCUUUGCAGCUUCACACCUGCUCCUCUUUGUUCAUUAGCUGGAUCUCAGUGUUAUGCUUGGUUCCACUCGGCGUGAUAAGUUAUCUAUCGCUGAGGACACUGUAAAAGGUGGCCAAGGUAAAUGCAGAUGAACCGCUUCCAAUAGUCCAUUGACUUGGAAAAUACUUUUAUGAUCUGAUCUCAAAUCAGGUAGGACUACCCGCUGAACUUAAGC